This 394-nucleotide ribosomal RNA is filed under the name uncultured bacterium. Its description in RNAcentral is "bacterial SSU rRNA". It matches the Rfam family "Bacterial small subunit ribosomal RNA", at positions 997 to 1392 of the family's 1533-position model. The record is from RNAcentral.
ACUCUAGAGAUAGAGCUUUCCCUUCGGGGACAAAGUGACAGGUGGUGCAUGGUUGUCGUCAGCUCGUGUCGUGAGAUGUUGGGUUAAGUCCCGCAACGAGCGCAACCCUUAUUACUAGUUGCCAGCAUUUAGUUGGGCACUCUAGUGAGACUGCCGGUGACAAACCGGAGGAAGGUGGGGACGACGUCAAAUCAUCAUGCCCCUUAUGACCUGGGCUACACACGUGCUACAAUGGAUGGUACAACGAGUCGCGAGACCGCGAGGUUUAGCUAAUCUCUUAAAACCAUUCUCAGUUCGGAUUGUAGGCUGCAACUCGCCUACAUGAAGCCGGAAUCGCUAGUAAUCGCGGAUCAGCAUGCCGCGGUGAAUACGUUCCCGGGUCUUGUACACACCG